RNAcentral lists this ribosomal RNA (492 nucleotides) under uncultured bacterium. Its description in RNAcentral is "partial 16S ribosomal RNA". It matches the Rfam family "Bacterial small subunit ribosomal RNA", at positions 29 to 507 of the family's 1533-position model. The record is from RNAcentral.
AGUGAACGCUGGCGGUAGGCCUAACACAUGCAAGUCGAACGGCAGCACAGUAAGAGCUUGCUCUUACGGGUGGCGAGUGGCGGACGGGUGAGGAAUACAUCGGAAUCUACUUUUUCGGGGGGGAUAACGUAGGGAAACUUACGCUAAUACCGCAUACGACCUACGGGUGAAAGCAGGAGAUCUUCAGACCUUGCGCGAUUGAAUGAGCCGAUGUCGGAUUAGCUAGUUGGCGGGGUAAAGGCCCACCAAGGCGACGAUCCGUAGCUGGUCUGAGAGGAUGAUCAGCCACACUGGAACUGAGACACGGUCCAGACUCCUACGGGAGGCAGCAGUGGGGAAUAUUGGACAAUGGGCGCAAGCCUGAUCCAGCCAUACCGCGUGGGUGAAGAAGGCCUUCGGGUUGUAAAGCCCUUUUGUUGGGAAAGAAAAGCAGCAGGUUAAUACCCCGCUGUUCUGACGGUACCCAAAGAAUAAGCACCGGCUAACUUCGUG